This 1041-nucleotide long non-coding RNA is filed under the name Piliocolobus tephrosceles (Ugandan red Colobus). Its description in RNAcentral is "lncRNA (ENSPTEG00000006531.1)". Lineage: Eukaryota; Metazoa; Chordata; Mammalia; Primates; Cercopithecidae. The record is from RNAcentral.
CAUUAAUACAUUAUUAUUCACCUUCCUCUAUUAUGCAACAAAUAAAUCCAGAAACAACAUUUGGAUUAAUAUACUGUCCUGUGUUAGCGAAAUUGCAUCAUAGUUGUGUACCCACGUGUAGUUUUUUUUAUGAUGAAAAUGGUUUCCUAACUGUUAGAGCAUUAUGUCAAAUACCAGAAGGUGGUAAAUUAUGUAUUAGUCUUUUAUCUGAUCCGUAUGUACCUUUAAAAAUAAGAAAACAUUUUAAAAAUAACCCUAGGAUUAUUACAUGUGGUUGUAUCAGAUGCUCUGACCCAACAGAAAACAAUUUACAUUUAAGGAGUGUAAAAUGUCCAAACUGUGUUAUUGGUUAUAUAUAUCCUAUAAAAACAGGCGCGUUGGUUGAGGCUUUGUUUUCGCACUGGAACAAGCAGAGUGAUACUUGUUUUUCAAGUGAUGUAAACACUACAGAAAAAAUAACAAAUGCGGCCAGCUCAAACAACAUUACUAACAACAACACUCACAAUAGCACCCGCAACACUCAAAAUAGCACCCGCAACACUCACAAUAGCACCCGCAACACUCACAAUAGCACCCGCAACACUCACAAUAGCACUCACAACACUCACAAUAGUAACACCCAUCGACCUGUAUACGAUGAGAAAAAAAAAAAAAAAUUGUUAAAAAUAAUAAAAAAAAAAAAGGAACGGUGGCUAUGUUCCAACUGUGAUAAAUUGUCCAUACAAGGAAAUAAAAAAUGCUUAAAAAUUGAAAACUUAGUAUAUAUUUUAUAUAACGAAGCUGAAAAUGAUUAUAUUCAGGGAAAUAUAGUAAUUGCAAGAAAUAAACUAAUUAAAUUAUAUGAGGAGUACUAUCAUAUAUUACAUCCAAAUCAUUAUAUAAUGUUUAAUGUUUGUGUUUUAUUAGCUGGGCUGUUACGACACGAUCCAAAUAAACAAGUGUUUGAGUCUUUACGAUUCUUAAGAAAAGCUGUUAUAUCAGCAGAAAAUGUAUUACCUGUAUGCUGUUUAGAAAAAAUACAUUUGUACGCACAUUUAGCCC